CAGCCAAAGGAGGAAAAGUUCUCAAUGGUGAUCCUUGCCCGGGGAUCUCCAGAGGAGGCUAAUCGCUGGCCCCGGAUCACUCAGCCUGUCCUUAAACGGCCACGCCAUGUGCAUUGUCACCUAUGUUGUCCAGAUGGGCAUAUGCAGCAUGCUGUGAUCACAGCCCGCCGCCAUGGCAGGGAUUUGUAUCGCUGUGCCCGUGUCAGCUCCUGGGGAGAUCUUUUACCUGUGACCACACCAUCUGAGCCUCCUCCAUCCUCUGCUGAAGAUCCACCUGAGAGCUGACAAGGAUAUGUAACAAGAGUUUUCUUCUAUCGUACUUGCCAAGGCUAAAGCUACCUGGUAUCCAGGAUGGGAGCGCUGGGACCCCUAUAUAUCUGUCUUUGAGGUUUUAAUAAUAAUAA
This is a long non-coding RNA of Pteropus alecto (black flying fox), 404 nucleotides long. RefSeq lists it as uncharacterized. Lineage: Eukaryota; Metazoa; Chordata; Mammalia; Chiroptera; Pteropodidae. The transcript has 2 exons. The record is from RefSeq and is a predicted model, not a curated record.